AGGACUAACGCUGGCGGCGUGCCUAACACAUGCAAGUCGAACGAGAGUAGCAAUACUCUAGUGGCAGACGGGUGAGUAACACGUGGUCAACCUUCCCUAGCGUGGGGGAUAACUAGCCGAAAGGUUAGCUAAUACCGCAUGACAUCGUCGAGUGGCAUCAUUUGACGAUCAAAGGAGCAAUCCGCGCAAGGACGGGACCGCGUCCCAUUAGCUAGUUGGUGAGGUAACGGCCCACCAAGGCUUCGAUGGGUAGCUGGUUUGAGAGAGCGACCAGCCACACUGGGACUGAGACACGGCCCAGACUCCUACGGGAGGCAGCAGUGAGGAAUUUUUCCGCAAUGGGCGAAAGCCUGACGGAGCGACGUCGCGUGUGGGAAGAAGGCCUUCGGGUCGUAAACCACUGUCGAAGGGGAAGAUAUUGACGGUACCCUUGGAGGAAGCCCCGGCUAACUACGUGCCAGCAGCCGC
RNAcentral lists this ribosomal RNA (468 nucleotides) under uncultured bacterium. Its description in RNAcentral is "SSU rRNA". It matches the Rfam family "Bacterial small subunit ribosomal RNA", at positions 26 to 518 of the family's 1533-position model. The record is from RNAcentral.